CUCAGCCCCUGUCUCUAGGAGAGCUAAGCUGAUGGCAGUGACAAACUGUGAUCCAAUCCCACCAUACCUCCAGGAUUUAUGGACUAAAUGAGCUUCUGGAAGCUUGGAGGGGGGAACGCCUGUCCCACUACAGAGAACAUGAAGGCCAAGGAACUUCAUGCUUAUCCUAGGCAAUAAGAAAACUAGAACAGCAGGUCUGAGGAACCCCAAAGGGUUAAAGACAUCGCAAAGAGGAAGGAAAAUUGUCAAUGAAGACUAACAAGUAGCUAGAGAAGCUAGAGAGACGAUAAAGAGGCCAG
This 299-nucleotide long non-coding RNA is filed under the name Mus spicilegus (steppe mouse). Its description in RNAcentral is "lncRNA (ENSMSIG00000006784.1)". Lineage: Eukaryota; Metazoa; Chordata; Mammalia; Rodentia; Muridae. The record is from RNAcentral.